UUUCCGCCAGAGAACUACAAGUGAAAAACUUGAAACUCAAAGGACUUGACGGUGUCCCAUACCGACCUAGAGGAGCCUGUCCUAUAAUCGAUACUCCCCGCUCCACCCAACCCCAACUAGCAUCCCUCAGCCUAUAUACCGCCGUCGAUCAGCCUACCCUAUGAAAGUCCAAUAGUAGACACAAUAGCCCUAUCGCUAAUACGUCAGGUCAAGGUGUAGCAAAUGUUGUGGAAGAGAUUGGCUACAUUUUUUAUUAUAAAAAAUACGAAAAAUACUAUGAAACAGUAUAUGAAGGUGAAUUUAGUAGUAAAAUAAACAAGAGUGUUUAUUUUAACAACGCUCUGGGACGCGUACACACCGCCC
RNAcentral lists this ribosomal RNA (363 nucleotides) under Darevskia raddei (Azerbaidzhan lizard). RNAcentral's name for it is "partial 12S ribosomal RNA". It matches the Rfam family "Bacterial small subunit ribosomal RNA", at positions 866 to 1395 of the family's 1533-position model. Lineage: Eukaryota; Metazoa; Chordata; Lepidosauria; Squamata; Lacertidae. The record is from RNAcentral.